RNAcentral lists this ribosomal RNA (752 nucleotides) under uncultured Glomus. RNAcentral's name for it is "SSU rRNA". It matches the Rfam family "Eukaryotic small subunit ribosomal RNA", at positions 338 to 1092 of the family's 1831-position model. Lineage: Eukaryota; Fungi; Glomeromycota; Glomeromycetes; Glomerales; Glomeraceae. The record is from RNAcentral.
GGCCUACCAUGGUGGUAACGGGUAACGGGGUGUUAGGGCACGACACCGGAGAGGGAGCCUGAGAAACGGCUACCACAUCCAAGGAUGGCAGCAGGCGCGCAAAUUACCCAAUCCCGACACGGGGAGGUAGUGACAAUAAAUAACAAUACGGGGUUCUUACGGAUCUCGUAAUUGGAAUGAGUACAAUUUAAAUCUCUUAACGAGGAACAAUUGGAGGGCAAGUCUGGUGCCAGCAGCCGCGGUAAUUCCAGCUCCAAUAGCGUAUAUUAAAGUUGUUGCAGUUAAAAAGCUCGUAGUUGAAUUUCGGGAUCAAUAUGUCGGUCGUGCCUCGGUACGUACUGGCAUCAUUGGUUUCUCCCUUCUGAUGAACCAUGAUGCCAUUAAUUUGGUGUCGUGGGGAAUCAGGACUGUUACUUUGAAAAAAUUAGAGUGUUUAAAGCAGGCUCACGCUUGAAUACAUUAGCAUGGAAUAAUGAAAUAGGACGUUUGAUUCUAUUUUGUUGGUUUCUAGGAUCGACGUAAUGAUUAAUAGGGAUAGUUGGGGGCAUUAGUAUUCAAUUGUCAGAGGUGAAAUUCUUGGAUUUAUUGAAGACUAACUACUGCGAAAGCAUUUGCCAAGGAUGUUUUCAUUAAUCAAGAACGAAAGUUAGGGGAUCGAAGACGAUCAGAUACCGUCGUAGUCUUAACCAUAAACUAUGCCGACUAGGGAUCGGAUGAUGUUAAUUUUUUAAUGACUCAUUCGGCGCCUUACG